AACGCGAAGAACCUUACCUGGGCUCGAAAUGCUACGGACCAGCUUAUGAAAGUUUGCCUUCCCGCAAGGGACCGUAGUAUAGGUGCUGCAUGGCUGUCGUCAGCUCGUGUCGUGAGAUGUUGGGUUAAGUCCCGCAACGAGCGCAACCCUUGUCCUGUGUUGCCAUACCGAAAGGUGGAACUCGCAGGAGACCGCCAGGGAUAACCUGGAGGAAGGUGGGGAUGACGUCAAGUCCUCAUGGCCUUUAUGUCCAGGGCUACACACGUGCUACAAUGGACGGUACAAAGGGCUGCCAACCCGCGAGGGGGAGCCAAUCCCAAAAAACCGUUCUCAGUUCGGAUUGCAGGCUGCAACUCGCCUGCAUGAAGCUGGAAUCGCUAGUAAUGGCGGAUCAGAACGCCGCCGUGAAUACGUUCCCGGGCCUUGUACACACCGCUAGUC
Molecule: ribosomal RNA, 441 nt
Filed under: uncultured bacterium
Lineage: Bacteria
Description: bacterial SSU rRNA
Rfam family: Bacterial small subunit ribosomal RNA
Source: RNAcentral